GACGAACGCUGGCGGCGUGCUUAACACAUGCAAGUCGAACGGAAAGGCUCCAGCUUGCUGGAGUACUCGAGUGGCGAACGGGUGAGUAACACGUGGGUAAUCUGCCCUGCACUCUGGGAUAAGCCUGGGAAACUGGGUCUAAUACUGGAUAUGACCUUUCUCCUUAUGGGGUUUGGUGGAAAGUUUUUCGGUGUAGGAUGAGCCCGCGGCCUAUCAGCUUGUUGGUGGGGUGAUGGCCUACCAAGGCGACGACGGGUAGCCGGCCUGAGAGGGUGAUCGGCCACAUUGGGACUGAGAUACGGCCCAGACUCCUACGGGAGGCAGCAGUGGGGAAUAUUGCACAAUGGGCGGAAGCCUGAUGCAGCGACGCCGCGUGAGGGAUGACGGCCUUCGGGUUGUAAACCUCUUUCAGCAGGGACGAAGCGUAAGUGACGGUACCUGCAGAAGAAGCACCGACUAACUACGUG
This 467-nucleotide ribosomal RNA is filed under the name uncultured bacterium. Its description in RNAcentral is "partial 16S ribosomal RNA". It matches the Rfam family "Bacterial small subunit ribosomal RNA", at positions 28 to 507 of the family's 1533-position model. The record is from RNAcentral.